This 292-nucleotide ribosomal RNA is filed under the name uncultured Alphaproteobacteria bacterium. Its description in RNAcentral is "partial 16S ribosomal RNA". The record is from RNAcentral. Lineage: Bacteria; Pseudomonadati; Pseudomonadota; Alphaproteobacteria.
GGACUACUGGGGUAUCUAAUCCUGUUUGCUCCCCACGCUUUCGCACCUCAGCGUCAGUACCGGGCCAGUGAGCCGCCUUCGCCACUGGUGUUCUUGCGAAUAUCUACGAAUUUCACCUCUACACUCGCAGUUCCACUCACCUCUCCCGGACUCCAGAUCCUCAGUAUCAAAGGCAGUUCCAAGGUUGAGCCCUGGCAUUUCACCCCUGACUUAAAGAUCCGCCUACGUGCGCUUUACGCCCAGUGAUUCCGAACAACGCUAGCCCCCUUCGUAUUACCGCGGCGGCUGGCAC